This 443-nucleotide ribosomal RNA is filed under the name Stygocapitella sp. 321_04. Its description in RNAcentral is "partial large subunit ribosomal RNA". It matches the Rfam family "Bacterial large subunit ribosomal RNA", at positions 1810 to 2606 of the family's 2925-position model. The record is from RNAcentral. Lineage: Eukaryota; Metazoa; Annelida; Polychaeta; Parergodrilidae. RNAcentral also lists the same sequence under 2 other names.
AAAACAUAGCCUAUAACUUAACUUUAGGUACAACCCUGCCCUCUGAAAUUUUAACAGCCGCGGUAUCCUAACCGUGCUAAGGUAGCAUAAUCAUUUGCCUAUUAAUUAUAGGCUAGCAUGAACGGGAUCACUCACUUAAAUUUAUUUUCACUACAAUUAAAAUUAAACUUUAAGUUAAAAUACUAAAUUUUUAAGAAAGACAAAAAGACCCUGAAAACUAUUAGAAGAUAAUUAGUUGGGGCAACUAUAGACCAUAAACAGCGUCUAUUAAAAUUCGAAUUUUAAAAUUCAAAGCACACAGUUACUUCAGGGAUAACAGACUAAUUGUAUUAUUUAGACCUAAUAAAUAAUAAAGAUUGGCACCUCGAUGUUGGCUUAUAAUUCCUUCAUAUAGUAACAUAUAUUGAUGGCAGCUUGUUCAUCUGAUAAAUAUUUACGUGACU